GAACUGAAGAGUUUGAUCAUGGCUCAGAUUGAACGCUGGCGGCAGGCCUAACACAUGCAAGUCGAGCGGCAGCACGGGUACUUGUACCUGGUGGCGAGCGGCGGACGGGUGAGUAAUGCCUAGGAAUCUGCCUGGUAGUGGGGGAUAACGCUCGGAAACGGACGCUAAUACCGCAUACGUCCUACGGGAGAAAGCAGGGGACCUUCGGGCCUUGCGCUAUCAGAUGAGCCUAGGUCGGAUUAGCUAGUUGGUGAGGUAAUGGCUCACCAAGGCGACGAUCCGUAACUGGUCUGAGAGGAUGAUCAGUCACACUGGAACUGAGACACGGUCCAGACUCCUACGGGAGGCAGCAGUGGGGAAUAUUGGACAAUGGGCGAAAGCCUGAUCCAGCCAUGCCGCGUGUGUGAAGAAGGUCUUCGGAUUGUAAAGCACUUUAAGUUGGGAGGAAGGGCAGUUACCUAAUACGUAUCUGUUUUGACGUUACCGACAGAAUAAGCACCGGCUAACUCUGUGCCAGCAGCCGCGGUAAUACAGAGGGUGCAAGCGUUAAUCGGAAUUACUGGGCGUAAAGCGCGCGUAGGUGGUU
Molecule: ribosomal RNA, 586 nt
Filed under: Pseudomonas syringae
Lineage: Bacteria; Pseudomonadati; Pseudomonadota; Gammaproteobacteria; Pseudomonadales; Pseudomonadaceae
Description: bacterial SSU rRNA
Rfam family: Bacterial small subunit ribosomal RNA
Source: RNAcentral